Neltuma alba is the source of this 132-nucleotide small nucleolar RNA. The record is from RefSeq and is a predicted model, not a curated record. Lineage: Eukaryota; Viridiplantae; Streptophyta; Magnoliopsida; Fabales; Fabaceae.
GAGCAAAAGUGUCAGUGAACAAUUAUGGCGUGUUUUGUAUUGAAGAUUGGUGAAAACAACACAUGGAGACUCUCCGUGCCUGUCAAAUUGAUUGUGUUGUUUUGAUUGUGGCCUCGAACAAGUCUCUACAUC